CUGAUGCAGCCAUGCCGCGUGUGUGAAGAAGGCCUUCGGGUUGUAAAGCACUUUCAGUCGUGAGGAAGGUGGUGUAGUUAAUAGCUGCAUUAUUUGACGUUAGCGACAGAAGAAGCACCGGCUAACUCCGUGCCAGCAGCCGCGGUAAUACGGAGGGUGCGAGCGUUAAUCGGAAUUACUGGGCGUAAAGCGCAUGCAGGUGGUUUGUUAAGUCAGAUGUGAAAGCCCGGGGCUCAACCUCGGAAUAGCAUUUGAAACUGGCAGACUAGAGUACUGUAGAGGGGGGUAGAAUUUCAGGUGUAGCGGUGAAAUGCGUAGAGAUCUGAAGGAAUACCGGUGGCGAAGGCGGCCCCCUGGACAGAUACUGACACUCAGAUGCGAAAGCGUGGGGAGCAAACAGGAUUAGAUACCCUGGUAGUCCACGCCGUAAACGAUGUCUACUUGGAGGUUGUGGCCUUGAGCCGUGGCUUUCGGAGCUAACGCGUUAAGUAGACCGCCUGGGGAGUACGGUCGCAAGAUUAAAACUCAAAUGAAUUGACGGGGGCCCGCACAAGCGGUGGAGCAUGUGGUUUAAUUCGAUGCAACGCGAAGAACCUUACCUACUCUUGACAUCCAGAGAACUUUCCAGAGAUGGAUUGGUGCCUUCGGGAACUCUGAGACAGGUGCUGCAUGGCUGUCGUCAGCUCGUGUUGUGAAAUGUUGGGUUAAGUCCCGCAACGAGCGCAACCCUUAUCCUUGUUUGCCAGCGAGUAAUGUCGGGAACUCCAGGGAGACUGCCGGUGAUAAACCGGAGGAAGGUGGGGACGACGUCAAGUCAUCAUGGCCCUUACGAGUAGGGCUACACACGUGCUACAAUGGCGCAUACAGAGGGC
This 872-nucleotide ribosomal RNA is filed under the name Vibrio sp. RNAcentral describes it as "bacterial SSU rRNA". It matches the Rfam family "Bacterial small subunit ribosomal RNA", at positions 383 to 1247 of the family's 1533-position model. The record is from RNAcentral. Lineage: Bacteria; Pseudomonadati; Pseudomonadota; Gammaproteobacteria; Vibrionales; Vibrionaceae.